Small nucleolar RNA from Eptesicus fuscus (big brown bat), 122 nucleotides. RefSeq annotates it as small nucleolar RNA SNORA24. NCBI's taxonomy places the organism in Eukaryota, Metazoa, Chordata, Mammalia, Chiroptera, Vespertilionidae. The record is from RefSeq and is a predicted model, not a curated record. The transcript has a single exon.
GUCCAUGAUAAACAAGACAGCACACUAUUCCCUUCCUAGCCAUGGAGGAGCAUUUUCUUGUUUUUUGGCAAAGCUGUCACCAUUUAAUUGGUAUCAGAUUCUGACUUGCACAAGUAACAUUC